GACGAACGCUGGCGGCGUGCCUAAUACAUGCAAGUCGAGCGAAGUUUCUCUGGUGCUUGCACCGGAAAAACUUAGCGGCGAACGGGUGAGUAACACGUAAAGAACCUGCCUCAUAGACUGGGACAACUAUUGGAAACGAUAGCUAAUACCGGAUAACAGCAUUAACUGCAUGGUUGAUGUUUAAAAGUUGGUUUUGCUAACACUAUGAGAUGGCUUUGCGGUGCAUUAGCUAGUUGGUGGGGUAAAGGCCUACCAAGGCGACGAUGCAUAGCCGACCUGAGAGGGUGAUCGGCACAACUGGAACUGAGCACCGGCCCAGAUUCCUACGGAGGCAGCAGUAGGGAAUCUUCCGCAAUGGGCGAAAGCCUGACGGAGCAACGCCGCGUGAGUGAAGAAGGAUUUCGGUUCGUAAAGCUCUGUUGUUAGGGAAGAAUGAUUGUGUAGUAACUAUACACAGUAGAGACGGUACCUAACCAGAAAGCCACGGCUAACUACGUG
This 498-nucleotide ribosomal RNA is filed under the name uncultured bacterium. Its description in RNAcentral is "partial 16S ribosomal RNA". It matches the Rfam family "Bacterial small subunit ribosomal RNA", at positions 28 to 507 of the family's 1533-position model. The record is from RNAcentral.